RNAcentral lists this transfer RNA (82 nucleotides) under Cordyceps militaris CM01. RNAcentral's name for it is "tRNA-Leu (GAG) (tRNA-Leu-GAG-1-1)". It matches the Rfam family "tRNA". Rfam says of the family: Transfer RNA (tRNA) molecules are approximately 80 nucleotides in length. Lineage: Eukaryota; Fungi; Ascomycota; Sordariomycetes; Hypocreales; Cordycipitaceae. The record is from RNAcentral.
AGGUGGGAUGGCCGAGUGGUUAAGGCGGUAGGAUGAGGUCUUAUUGUAUUCGUACUCGCGGGUUCGAAUCCCGCUCCAUCUG